This is a non-coding RNA of Pelobates cultripes (western spadefoot toad), 203 nucleotides long. The record is from the annotation of a GenBank genome assembly. Lineage: Eukaryota; Metazoa; Chordata; Amphibia; Anura; Pelobatidae.
GAUUACAGAGGGAGGCGGAAUAAUUUGAGAGUGAAGGGUCUGCCGGAACAAGAUAGGGAAGACCUGCAAGCAGUGCUCCGCGAACUCUUCAACCUCGUACUAGGCCGACCCAUCGACACUCAAAUUAUCUUCGACAGGACCCACAGGGCCCUACGCCCUAGGAGUGCUGCCACGGAUGCACCCCGGGACGUGGUGUGCCAAUU